Molecule: ribosomal RNA, 497 nt
Filed under: uncultured bacterium
Lineage: Bacteria
Description: partial 16S ribosomal RNA
Rfam family: Bacterial small subunit ribosomal RNA
Source: RNAcentral
GAUGAACGCUGGCGGCGUGCCUAAUACAUGCAAGUCGAGCGAACAGAUGAGGAGCUUGCUCCUCUGACGUUAGCGGCGGACGGGUGAGUAACACGUGGAUAACCUACCUAUAAGACUGGGAUAACUUCGGGAAACCGGAGCUAAUACCGGAUAAUAUAUUGAACCGCAUGGUUCAAUAGUGAAAGACGGUUUUGCUGUCACUUAUAGAUGGAUCCGCGCCGCAUUAGCUAGUUGGUAAGGUAACGGCUUACCAAGGCAACGAUGCGUAGCCGACCUGAGAGGGUGAUCGGCCACACUGGAACUGAGACACGGUCCAGACUCCUACGGGAGGCAGCAGUAGGGAGUCUUCCGCAAUGGGCGAAAGCCUGACGGAGCAACGCCGCGUGAGUGAUGAAGGUCUUCGGAUCGUAAAACUCUGUUAUUAGGGAAGAACAAAUGUGUAAGUAACUAUGCACGUCUUGACGGUACCUAAUCAGAAAGCCACGGCUAACUACGUG